GACGAACGUUGGCGGCGUGCUUAAUACAUGCAAGUCAACUGAAGCAGUGGUAGCAAUAUCGCUGUGGAGGUGGCGCACGGGUGAGUAACACGUAGGUAAUCUGCCUUCAGGUCUGGCAUAACUCCGGGAAACCGGGGCUAAUAGCAGCUGAUGCAGCGGCUCGACAUCGAGACAGUUGUUAAAGCUAUGGCGCCUGAAGAUGAGCCUGCGCCUGAUUAGCUAGUUGGCGGGGUAACGGCCCACCAAGGCAACGAUCAGUAGCUGGUCUGAGAGGAUGAUCAGCCACACUGGAACUGAGACACGGUCCAGACUCCUACGGGAGGCAGCAGUAAGGAAUAUUGCGCAAGGGGGGAAAUCCUGAAGCAGCAACGCGGCGUGAGGGACGAAGGGCUUUUGCUUGUAAACCUCUGUAGUGAGAGAAAAAAAUCCCAAUCUUUGGGACAUGAUGGUAUCUCAAAAGUAAGCCCCGGCUAACUACGUG
Molecule: ribosomal RNA, 481 nt
Filed under: uncultured bacterium
Lineage: Bacteria
Description: partial 16S ribosomal RNA
Rfam family: Bacterial small subunit ribosomal RNA
Source: RNAcentral